RNAcentral lists this ribosomal RNA (497 nucleotides) under uncultured bacterium. Its description in RNAcentral is "partial 16S ribosomal RNA". It matches the Rfam family "Bacterial small subunit ribosomal RNA", at positions 28 to 507 of the family's 1533-position model. The record is from RNAcentral.
GAUGAACGCUGGCGGCGUGCCUAAUACAUGCAAGUCGAGCGAACGGACGAGAAGCUUGCUUCUCUGAUGUUAGCGGCGGACGGGGGAGUAACACGUGGAUAACCUACCUAUAAGACUGGGAUAACUUCGGGAAACCGUAGCUAAUACCGGAUAAUAUUUUGAACCGCAUGGUUCAAAAGUGAAAGACGGUCUUGCUGUCACUUAUAGAUGGAUCCGCGCUGCAUUAGCUAGUUGGUAAGGUAACGGCUUACCAAGGCAACGAUGCAUAGCCGACCUGAGAGGGUGAUCGGCCACACUGGAACUGAGACACGGUCCAGACUCCUACGGGAGGCAGCAGUAGGGAAUCUUCCGCAAUGGGCGAAAGCCUGACGGAGCAACGCCGCGUGAGUGAUGAAGGUCUUCGGAUCGUAUAACUCUGUUAUUAGGGAAGAACAUAUGUGUAAGUAACUGUGCACAUCUUGACGGUACCUAAUCAGAAAGCCACGGCUAACUACGUG